CGACCGGCGCACGGGUGCGUAACGCGUAUGCAACCUACCUUUAACAGGGGGAUAACACUGAGAAAUUGGUACUAAUACCCCAUAAUAUCAUAGAAGGCAUCUUUUAUGGUUGAAAAUUCCGAUGGUUAGAGAUGGGCAUGCGUUGUAUUGGCUAGUUGGUGGGGUAACGGCUCACCAAGGCGACGAUACAUAGGGGGACUGAGAGGUUAACCCCCCACACUGGUACUGAGACACGGACCAG
RNAcentral lists this ribosomal RNA (241 nucleotides) under uncultured bacterium. RNAcentral describes it as "partial 16S ribosomal RNA". It matches the Rfam family "Bacterial small subunit ribosomal RNA", at positions 92 to 334 of the family's 1533-position model. The record is from RNAcentral.